UACAGAGGUCUCAAGCGUUGUUCGGAUUCAUUGGGCGUAAAGGGUGCGUAGGCGGCGCGGUAAGUCGGGUGUGAAAUCUCGGGGCUUAACUCCGAAACUGCAUUCGAUACUGCCGUGCUUGAGGACUGGAGAGGAGACUGGAAUUUACGGUGUAGCGGUGAAAUGCGUAGAUAUCGGGAGGAACACCUGAGGCGAAGGCGGGCUACUGGGCUGAUACUGACGCUGAGGCGCGAAAGCCAGGGGAGCAAACGGG
Molecule: ribosomal RNA, 253 nt
Filed under: uncultured bacterium
Lineage: Bacteria
Description: partial 16S ribosomal RNA
Rfam family: Bacterial small subunit ribosomal RNA
Source: RNAcentral